AAUUGAGCAGCAGAUGUUCAGAUCAGAGUCCAGGUUCACUCUGAUAUUUAACCAGCAACAACUUCAUGAUAAUGAUAUAUUAAUAAUGAUACAAGCUCAAAUCUACUGGAUCCUGUAAAAUGUGCUCUUAUUGUGAAAAUCUGCCUCCCCCCUCCUUCCUGUCCUCCUCCAUCACAGGUGCAGCCCUGACUGGUUCCAGGAAGUAUCUCACCUGAGUCUCUAGUGUCCAGGUAGAAAGUUGAUGUGGAUUCAGCAGCAUGGACCAGAGGGAGGACAAAGAGGAGGGAGUCAGACAUCUGCAGGACGGGUUGACUGGUUUCAGUCAUUCAUCUGAUCCCAGCUGUGUUUCCCUCAAGAGUGAUCAGUCAAAUGAACGCGACAUUGAUUUUAAAGGAGAUCAACCCUCUGCUCCUGAGAGGAUCAGUCCAGACCCCAGCUGUGUGUCCCUCAACAGUGAUUGGUCCAAUGAUCGUGACAUUGAUUUUAAAGGACAUCAACCCUCUGCUCCUGAGAGAGUCCACCAGCAGAGCUCAGAGGUUCUCAGUGGUCAGUCUACCCAGCAGCAUCAGAUACAGCUG
Molecule: long non-coding RNA, 578 nt
Organism: Mugil cephalus (flathead mullet)
Lineage: Eukaryota; Metazoa; Chordata; Actinopteri; Mugiliformes; Mugilidae
Exons: 4
Source: RefSeq, a predicted model, not a curated record